Molecule: ribosomal RNA, 1407 nt
Filed under: uncultured bacterium
Lineage: Bacteria
Description: bacterial SSU rRNA
Rfam family: Bacterial small subunit ribosomal RNA
Source: RNAcentral
AGAGUUUGAUCCUGGCUCAGGACGAACGCUGGCGGCAUGCCUAAUACAUGCAAGUAGAACGCUGAAGAGAGGAGCUUGCUCUUCUUGGAUGAGUUGCGAACGGGUGAGUAACGCGUAGGUAACCUGCCUUGUAGCGGGGGAUAACUAUUGGAAACGACAGCUAAUACCGCAUAACAAUGGAUGACACAUGUCAUUUAUUUGAAAGGGGCAAUUGCUCCACUACAAGAUGGACCUGCGUUGUAUUAGCUAGUAGGUGAGGUAACGGCUCACCUAGGCGACGAUACAUAGCCGACCUGAGAGGGUGAUCGGCCACACUGGGACUGAGACACGGCCCAGACUCCUACGGGAGGCAGCAGUAGGGAAUCUUCGGCAAUGGGGGCAACCCUGACCGAGCAACGCCGCGUGAGUGAAGAAGGUUUUCGGAUCGUAAAGCUCUGUUGUAAGUCAAGAACGAGUGUGAGAGUGGAAAGUUCACACUGUGACGGUAGCUUACCAGAAAGGGACGGCUAACUACGUGCCAGCAGCCGCGGUAAUACGUAGGUCCCGAGCGUUGUCCGGAUUUAUUGGGCGUAAAGCGAGCGCAGGCGGUUUGAUAAGUCUGAAGUUAAAGGCUGUGGCUCAACCAUAGUUCGCUUUGGAAACUGUCAAACUUGAGUGCAGAAGGGGAGAGUGGAAUUCCAUGUGUAGCGGUGAAAUGCGUAGAUAUAUGGAGGAACACCGGUGGCGAAAGCGGCUCUCUGGUCUGUAACUGACGCUGAGGCUCGAAAGCGUGGGGAGCGAACAGGAUUAGAUACCCUGGUAGUCCACGCCGUAAACGAUGAGUGCUAGGUGUUGGAUCCUUUCCGGGAUUCAGUGCCGCAGCUAACGCAUUAAGCACUCCGCCUGGGGAGUACGACCGCAAGGUUGAAACUCAAAGGAAUUGACGGGGGCCCGCACAAGCGGUGGAGCAUGUGGUUUAAUUCGAAGCAACGCGAAGAACCUUACCAGGUCUUGACAUCCCGAUGCUAUUUCUAGAGAUAGAAAGUUACUUCGGUACAUCGGUGACAGGUGGUGCAUGGUUGUCGUCAGCUCGUGUCGUGAGAUGUUGGGUUAAGUCCCGCAACGAGCGCAACCCCUAUUGUUAGUUGCCAUCAUUCAGUUGGGCACUCUAGCGAGACUGCCGGUAAUAAACCGGAGGAAGGUGGGGAUGACGUCAAAUCAUCAUGCCCCUUAUGACCUGGGCUACACACGUGCUACAAUGGUUGGUACAACGAGUUGCGAGUCGGUGACGGCAAGCUAAUCUCUUAAAGCCAAUCUCAGUUCGGAUUGUAGGCUGCGACUCGCCUACAUGAAGUCGGAAUCGCUAGUAAUCGCGGAUCAGCACGCCGCGGUGAAUACGUUCCCGGGCCUUGUACUCACCGCCCGUCA